Molecule: ribosomal RNA, 1163 nt
Filed under: Triticum aestivum (bread wheat)
Lineage: Eukaryota; Viridiplantae; Streptophyta; Magnoliopsida; Poales; Poaceae
Description: partial small subunit ribosomal RNA
Source: RNAcentral
CUUGUGACUUUCACUAGUCUACACGUGUGUCCGUGCCACGAAAGUCUGUUACGUCGAACUACCCUUUAUUAACUCGAAGUUAGCGUUCGUGUUAUUAUUAUCGUAACUGAACUGAACGUCCGAGAAACCGACCAAGAACUACCGAAGUUGUUCUUCUGAUCGUAAGGGGUGAGUCAGUACUGUCGAAAAACUCCUAAAGUCUAAGACUUCACGUGUUCUUCCAGCGACGUCCAGGUAUGGACCGGCCUAGAUGUAGCUAAAAUUCGGUCCACCCACCAACAAGAGACCAAAACCGCCUAUGGUGUUCAACUUCUAGUUUAGGUCGACAAACAGUAGUUGUCGUCCGAUCGUGUGAGUCAGUAUGGGUAUUGGGUACUCAAGUACUUUCAAAUCCUAGAGGUGCUCAUGCAAAGUUACUGUUGUUCUGGUCGGUUCGGUAUUCCGAGUCUUAAAGUUCUGAGGUACUCUGACAACACUACCACAGUCGAAGUCCUUGCGUGUUCCUCCAGUGGUUCUAGCUAGUCUACGGCCGAAGAACUAAACACUGCUGUCCAGUGGGCGGACUUCCUUCUACGAAAUAUUAAACCCGGCGUACGACUAUUCCGCAGUUACUUAGAGUUCUACUCAUAUAGGUCACAGAGACAUGUAAGUACAAUGUGGACUACACGUGUGGCAGACCCAAAGGAGACGGAAAAGUUCUGCAUGAUGACUAUGUUGACGGACUACCCGUGUGACAAAACGAUGAUGACACGGACACAAAUGAUGACAAGCACUAACGAACGCUCCACACUAUUAUAGCUAAACCCGACACGGAACCGAAAAUUCAUUGUGCUGUGAACGACAUUCUGGCGCUCACUCAACACAAAAGUAUAAGCUUGAUUAAAAACGUCAUGUACUAAGAAAAAGUAUGAAGGUAAACUAUUCUAUAGCGGAUAAUUAAGGUCGGCAUAGACAUUUUAUUAUGUUAAACCAACAUCUGUCUUCCGAGUUCCUCUCGGGCCGUGUUAAACAAAUCACUAAGUAUUGCGACUCUGUAAGUAAAAGUGACGGUAUACCAAUGACCGAAAUUAAUCAAUAACAACGACAUUGAACGACGAUUACCCACCUAGGAACUUCACCAUAGUCGUGUACAUGGACAAAAUAAAAAAAUAAAAUAAAAAACG